Molecule: long non-coding RNA, 3670 nt
Organism: Monodelphis domestica (gray short-tailed opossum)
Lineage: Eukaryota; Metazoa; Chordata; Mammalia; Didelphimorphia; Didelphidae
Source: RefSeq, a predicted model, not a curated record
AAUAAUAAAAAUACAAAAACAACGUUGUUUCUUGCUGAAUUGCAAUUUUCUAGUACAUCAUAGGGUCAUAGAUUCAGAGCUCCAAGGGACUUUGUAAAUUAUCUAUUGUAAAUCUCUCAUUUUACAGAUGAAGAAAUCAAGGCUUACAGAGGAAUUGGCCAUGUUUCCUGGCAGCAAACCAAAGGUUCAGCAUUCAACUUAUUAAGAGUUUAAUGUGCCAGCUUGGCAUUCAUGGAGUAUACUGCCCGGGAGCUGAUUACAACAACAUACCAAGAAGAAAGAUGGAACAUGAUAUUGUCCAAAGUACAAGCUGGAGUAGUCUCUCAGAAGCCGAGAAUGACGAUUGUCUUUGUGCAUGUGUGCACAAAGAUACUUGUGCGUGAAGAUUUAAGUGGAAAAGUCGAUGCACAGAGACAGUCCCACUCUCUCGGCGUUGGAAGCCUGGGUCCAGUGGUAUGAAAAGUCAUUACACCUGGAGACUUCCUCAGCUGCAUUGAAUGGCCGGGUUGUCUUUUGUGCUCCAACGUGCCCUGAACACUCCACAGUGCUUUGCUGCGUCGCCAUCUCAGCUGUUGAACCUUCUUGUUGGUUUCUUCCAUCUGUUCAGCUGAAGCAGUCUUCACAUGCUGGGUGAGCAAAGCCUUGGUUCACCAGGGGUCUAUGACCCAAUGGCUACCCUCACAAGGUUUGGCCGGCCUAUCGAAGCCGUUGCCAUAUUAUAUAUUAUGACAAGACUAUAAGUGAACUCUACGGAUUGUACAUCCCUGACGACACUUUAAAAUAGAAUUAUUCAAGUAUGCAUAUCUACAUAAGGAAUAUCUUUGGGCACUCUGAUUUUAUGACAUCAGAGUUGUUAAUGAAGGGUACCCUGGGGAAGUAAGGUGUCUCAGUUAAUAGAGAAGCAGACCUAGAGAUAAGAGGUCCUGGUUUCAAAUAUGACCUCAGAUACUUCCUAGCUAUAUGACCCUAGGCAAGUCACUUAACUCCAAUUCCUUAUUGCUCUUCUGCCUUGGAACCAAUACUUAGUUAAUUCUAAGACAGAAAGUGAGGUUUAAAAAAACCACAAAAAUAAGACACACCAUGGGUCUAGCAGAUAUGAGCAAUAUUUGUACUAUGAAGAUAUCAUCUUUUAAUCACAUCUUUUGAAGUUAGUGAUAUAUAUCUUGGGAUCUAGCUAUCUAUCUAUUAAUCAAUAGAUAAUUGCCAUAAUUAGUUGAAGCCUUUGCUCCUUUCUCUAUGGUACCAUCACAUUAUAUGGAGAUUAGAAGAAUUUGGCCCCAGCCAAGUAUUUCUUCAAUAUCCAGACAUCCUCAGAAUCACAUCCAUUUACCAGGUAACAUCAGCAAAAAGAGGCCAAAUAUUUAGAGGGUAGGACCUCAGGGACAAUAAGACAUUUUUCUAAUGGUCUGAGGACAAUUCACAACUUGAUGAAAUAGAAGCGAGGAGAUGGGAAGGGAAGGGAAGUAACUAUGACCUACAAUCUCUGGGCAUUCUUUUUAGUUGUCUGGCACUAUGAAAAUUCAUAUCACCACUUUAUGGAGGCACUUCAACCCUGAUCACAGGACAGGCAAAAAGAAAAGCUUCAAAAUAGAAUCUGAAACACAUUGCUGCCAACUUCUUAUAAGUUACAAUAGAAAGCACAUAGUAUUUGUAUGGAGCAACAGAGAACAAGUCAGAUUGAUUAGAAACAAGGUAGUCAUACUGAGGAUAAGAGGCACUUUUGACAAUAAGGACAGCAUCUAUAGGCAGCAAUAUUAUUCAUUUAGGAGAGCAGAAAUUUAGUUCAUAUUGUGAAGAAUGAAAACAAAAGGUACUGAGUAAAUGUAAAGGGAAUGAGUCUGUAUUCUCCUUGGGAUGGUUGUCAUUUUGGUCCAAAGCAGAAUACAGAAAAUUAGAUCCCCAUUAAAAUAAAACUGACAGUAGGUUCAGGGAAGAUCAAAAGUUCAAUGAGACUUCCAAAAUCUUUUCAAUAAUUCUUAACCCUUAUACGGAAUAAUUAAAAUAAUAAUAAUAUGCUCAGGAUAUUUGGGAUCCUCAAUUCUGAAGGAGUUUAGAUUGGUUGUUAAAGAAUGAUUACAUUCUGUCAAUCCAAAUUCUCCUUAAUAUUUCUAUUGGCCAAAAGAAUCAGGGCUUUAAACCUUAAAAGAGAACCAUCUAAAUAUAAACUCAUAAUAGCAAAUAUGUUACAGAACUUUCUGAUGCAUACCCAAAUGGCCUAAGAAAUAUCCACAUGGGAGAGUAUGAAAUUCCAGACACCUGAUUCUGGAAAAAGAAAUCCUGCUUUCCUCUACCACAUAUGUUGGACCAGCCUCUUUCCAUUGGCCCCAAAGCCAGAACUGCUUGUUUCUUUAAAUCUAUCUGAUGGAGGAACAGUUGGACAUUCUCUUUUGGAAGGCAUUCAAGUGUAAGGUCUUGUACACCCUCAGCAAGGGCAGUUUGGUAGAAAAAAGACUACAUUCCCCUUGAUUUAGGUCUUGCAGCUCCAAGAAACAAGCUUGGGUUUUUGGUCUGUUUCUCUUCUCCUCUUCAGUUCUAGAUAAAGGCAAUUGAGUCCUGGUUGCAGGAAUUUGAAUGGAAAGAGUGGAGCCAAGAUUCCAAGCCAGAUGUUACUCUCGGUUCACCAAAGAAGUCCUCAGGAGAUAAGAAUGCCAAGAUGAGAACUGGGGCAGGGGAGGGUUUUAGACUUGGAUUUUGAUGGAACUGAUGUUAUCUGCUAUAGGAACUAAACCAAAUCAAGAACUAAUUCUCCCUUUCCUAACCAAAAACCAAGGAAAUAUAGGAGAGAUUAUGAUGCCCCAGGUAACAGAACAGGAAGUAGGAAUUGUAUGCUUGUUUUUGCUAUAAAUUUAAAAUAAAUAUUUGUUUUUAAAAAGCUUGUCUUACUGUUAAGUGGUUAUAUGGAACUCAAGACUGAAGGAAGACAGUUGGUGGCAGUUUGAGCCAAUGGCAGAGACUAAAUACCUCCCAUCCUUCUUAAAGGUACUGAAAAAUUCUGAAAAAGUGAAAAUGUAAUAUAACUAGCCUGCAGGCAGUAGGGGCUGGAGUAGUCAUUAUUACAUAUAAUGUUUAAGUUUCUUGAUUAUUUUUCUUAACCAUGUGCAAAAUAACAAAUGUAAGUCAUCAAAGCGCAUUCUUAUCAAAUGGGGGAUGAGGAGGAAGAAACCCAACCAGACAAACUCUUUAGCUGCAGGAAUAAUUAGAAGAAGGAAAGCAACACAAAAAUGUUUAUAUUGGUGUGUGUUUGAGUUUGUUGGCAUGUAUAGUGUUGAGAUCUUUUGUUUAUUGUUCUCUUAUGACAGAUGAACAAAGUAUCUCUAUUUAGCUCUUAGAAUAAAAUUACAGUUUGUAGAAACAUACUAUCAUUUGGAUCAAGUUGUUUCAUGUAUUAUAUAAGUAUAAAUACAGCUACUCUAUAAGAUAACCAGAGCUUAAAAGAUAUUUUAAAACCUAUAUAAAUUAAAUAUUCUGUAUUACAAAUGCAUUAUGGAGCCAUACUUUUCUAUUAUUUCUUUCAUAAUUUUGAUUUAUUUUACUGUUAAAGAAAGCAAAGCUUUGGAGGUUGAAUAGUCUAUUUGAAUCAAGUUCAUUACAAAUAAUAAUCCAGUAUUAAAAUCUGUUUGGAUAAUGUGACUUUCCUAUAAUGUACUCGUGUGCUAGUCUCAUAAUAAAA